CCUACGGGAGGCAGCAGUGAGGAAUAUUGGUCAAUGGUCGCGCGCCUGAACCAGCCAAGUCGCGUGAGGGAAGACGGUCCUAUGGAUUGUAAACCUCUUUUGUCGGGGAGCAAAAGACGCCACGCGUGGCGUUCCGCGAGUACCCGAAGAAAAAGCAUCGGCUAACUCCGUGCCAGCAGCCGCGGUAAUACGGAGGAUGCGAGCGUUAUCCGGAUUUAUUGGGUUUAAGGGGUGCGCAGGCGGAAGAUCAAGUCAGCGGUAAAAUUGAGAGGCUCAACCUCUUCGAGCCGUUGAAACUGGUUUUCUUGAGUGAGCGAGAAGUAUGCGGAAUGUGUGGUGUAGCGGUGAAAUGCAUAGAUAUCACGCAGAACUCCGAUUGCGAAGGCAGCAUACCGGCGCUCAACUGACGCUCAUGCACGAAAGUGUGGGUAUCGAACAGGAUUAGAUACCCCAGUAGUC
Molecule: ribosomal RNA, 459 nt
Filed under: uncultured bacterium
Lineage: Bacteria
Description: partial 16S ribosomal RNA
Rfam family: Bacterial small subunit ribosomal RNA
Source: RNAcentral